RNAcentral lists this ribosomal RNA (274 nucleotides) under uncultured bacterium. RNAcentral describes it as "partial 16S ribosomal RNA". It matches the Rfam family "Bacterial small subunit ribosomal RNA", at positions 523 to 796 of the family's 1533-position model. The record is from RNAcentral.
CUACGGAGGGUGCAAGCGUUAUCCGGAAUCAUUGGGUUUAAAGGGUCCGGAGGCAGAUUAAUAAGUCAGAGGUGAAAUCCCACAGCUUAACUGUGGCACUGCCUUUGAUACUGUUAGUCUUGAAUUAUAUGGAAGUAGAUAGAAUGUGUAGUGUAGCGGUGAAAUGCUUAGAGAUUCCACAGAAUACCGAUUGCGAAGGCAGUCUACUACGUAUAUAUUGACGCUAAUGGACGUAAGCGUGGGGAGCGAACAGGAUUAGAAACCCCAGUAGUCC